Phrynosoma platyrhinos (Desert horned lizard) is the source of this 72-nucleotide non-coding RNA. The record is from the annotation of a GenBank genome assembly. NCBI's taxonomy places the organism in Eukaryota, Metazoa, Chordata, Lepidosauria, Squamata, Phrynosomatidae.
GCCAGCAUGACAUAGUGGUUUGAGUGUUGGAUUAUGAUUCCAGAGACCAGGGUUUGAAUCCCCAUUUGGACA